AUUGAACGCUGGCGGCAUGCCUUACACAUGCAAGUCGAACGGCAGCACGGGUGCUUGCACCUGGUGGCGAGUGGCGAACGGGUGAGUAGUACAUCGGAACAUGUCCUGUAGUGGGGGAUAGCCCGGCGAAAGCCGGAUUAAUACCGCAUACGAUCUACGGAUGAAAGCGGGGGACCUUCGGGCCUCGCGCUAUAGGGUUGGCCGAUGGCUGAUUAGCUAGUUGGUGGGGUAAAGGCCUACCAAGGCGACGAUCAGUAGCUGGUCUGAGAGGACGACCAGCCACACUGGGACUGAGACACGGCCCAGACUCCUACGGGAGGCAGCAGUGGGGAAUUUUGGACAAUGGGCGAAAGCCUGAUCCAGCAAUGCCGCGUGUGUGAAGAAGGCCUUCGGGUUGUAAAGCACUUUUGUCCGGAAAGAAAUCCUUGGCCCUAAUACGGUCGGGGGAUGACGGUACCGGAAGAAUAAGCACCGGCUAACUACGUG
RNAcentral lists this ribosomal RNA (486 nucleotides) under uncultured bacterium. RNAcentral describes it as "partial 16S ribosomal RNA". It matches the Rfam family "Bacterial small subunit ribosomal RNA", at positions 30 to 507 of the family's 1533-position model. The record is from RNAcentral.